AUUCCAGUGACUGCUCAGCCAAAGGAGCUUGGGUGACAUCUCCAAGAUCACUGCAAGGAAGCAAAUUGCCAGUGCUGAGCUACCCCUCCCAGCCCAUGUGGCUCUCCCCAUGCUCCAGGAG
Molecule: long non-coding RNA, 121 nt
Filed under: Junco hyemalis (dark-eyed junco)
Lineage: Eukaryota; Metazoa; Chordata; Aves; Passeriformes; Passerellidae
Description: lncRNA (ENSJHYG00000006378.1)
Source: RNAcentral